CAUUCCUACGGGGGGCAGCAGUAGGGAAUCUUUCACAAUGGGCGAAAGCCUGAUGGAGCAACGCCGCGUGCAGGAUGAAGGCCUUCGGGUUGUAAACUGCUUUUAUAAGCGAGAAAUAUGAUGGUAACUUAUGAAUAAGGAUCGGCUAACUCCGUGCCAGCAGCCGCGGUAAUACGGAGGGUGCGAGCGUUAAUCGGAAUUACUGGGCGUAAAGCGCUCGUAGGCGGUAUGUCAAGUCAAGGGUGAAAUCCCCGCGCUCAACGUGGGAACUGCCUUUGAAACUGGCAAACUGGAGUGUGUGAGAG
Molecule: ribosomal RNA, 305 nt
Filed under: uncultured bacterium
Lineage: Bacteria
Description: bacterial SSU rRNA
Rfam family: Bacterial small subunit ribosomal RNA
Source: RNAcentral